CGCCUGUUUAUCAAAAACAUGUCCUUUUGGAAUUUAUUUAAGGUUUGGGCCUGCUCAAUGAUUUAAAUAGCCGCAGUAUUUUGACUGUGCUAAGGUAGCAUAAUAAUUAGUCUUUUAAUUGAGGUCUGGAAUGAAUGGUUUGACGAAAAUUAUACUUUAUUUUUUUAAUUUAAUUUGAAUUUUAUUUUUAAGUUAAAAAGCUUAAAUUUAGGAGAGGGACGAUAAGACCCUAUAGAUCUUUAUUUUAUUUUUGAUUUUUUUUUUUUAGUUUAUUUUUAAAAUUUUUAUUAAUUAAAUUUUGUUGGGGUGACAAAUAAAAUUUUAAUCUUUAUUUUUUUUUUACAUUUUUUUAUGAAUAUUUGAUCCUUAUUUUUGAUUAAAAGAUUAAGAUACCUUAGGGAUAACAGCGUUAUAAAUCUGGAGAGUUCUUAUUGAUAGAUUUGUUUGCGACCUCGAUGUUGGAUUAAAAGUUUCUGUGGGGUAGGUUUUACAGUUUUAGGUCUGUUCGACUUUAAAAUUUUACAUGAUCUGAGUUCAGACCGG
RNAcentral lists this ribosomal RNA (543 nucleotides) under Lycorma olivacea. RNAcentral's name for it is "partial 16S ribosomal RNA". It matches the Rfam family "Bacterial large subunit ribosomal RNA", at positions 1797 to 2619 of the family's 2925-position model. The record is from RNAcentral. Lineage: Eukaryota; Metazoa; Arthropoda; Insecta; Hemiptera; Fulgoridae.